CGAUCACAUCACGUUGAAAUACUGGUCACCGAAAGUUAAGCAACAUUGAGCCUGGUCAGUACCUAGAUGGGUGACCGCUUGGGAAUACCAGGUGCUGUAAG
This is a non-coding RNA of Acanthosepion pharaonis, 101 nucleotides long. Lineage: Eukaryota; Metazoa; Mollusca; Cephalopoda; Sepiida; Sepiidae. The record is from the annotation of a GenBank genome assembly.